RNAcentral lists this unclassified non-coding RNA (311 nucleotides) under Hevea brasiliensis (rubber tree). The record is from RNAcentral. Lineage: Eukaryota; Viridiplantae; Streptophyta; Magnoliopsida; Malpighiales; Euphorbiaceae.
AGCAACAAAGCCUCAACUAAAAGUACAAAAAGUUAUCACUUGUGUUACUGAUUUUGCUAUUCCUGAUAAGAUAUUAAAGAUGGCAUUAUUUUAUUGGAUAGUGAUUUUAGUUGCUUCAAAUUAGAUGUAUGGAAGUUAUAAUGCUGAUGUAGAUGUAGACUACAUAUAAAAUUCUGGUACCACUAAAUGGGUUUUUUUGGAAACAAAUGCAUCAUGAACACUAUUAAAGGUAAACUGACUAGAAAUUUGUAGGCUAUGUUGUUUUAUUUGUUAUAAAAGUAACUAAAAACAAUUAUUUCCUAGAGGUUUAU